UUCGCCCUUAGAGUUUGAUCCUGGCUCAGAGCGAACGCUGGCGGCAGGCUUAACACAUGCAAGUCGAACGCAUCCUUUGGGAUGAGUGGCAGACGGGUGAGUAACACGUGGGAACGUGCCCUCCGGUCUGGGAUAACCCUGGGAAACUAGGGCUAAUACCGGAUACGUGCUUUGGCAGAAAGGUUUACUGCCGGAGGAUCGGCCCGCGUCUGAUUAGCUAGUUGGUGGGGUAACGGCCUACCAAGGCGACGAUCAGUAGCUGGUCUGAGAGGAUGAUCAGCCACACUGGGACUGAGACACGGCCCAGACUCCUACGGGAGGCAGCA
Molecule: ribosomal RNA, 326 nt
Filed under: uncultured Methylobacterium sp.
Lineage: Bacteria; Pseudomonadati; Pseudomonadota; Alphaproteobacteria; Hyphomicrobiales; Methylobacteriaceae
Description: bacterial SSU rRNA
Rfam family: Bacterial small subunit ribosomal RNA
Source: RNAcentral